This 134-nucleotide small nuclear RNA is filed under the name Marmota monax (woodchuck). RNAcentral's name for it is "U2 spliceosomal RNA". It matches the Rfam family "U2 spliceosomal RNA". From Rfam's summary of the family: U2 is a small nuclear RNA (snRNA) component of the spliceosome (involved in pre-mRNA splicing). Lineage: Eukaryota; Metazoa; Chordata; Mammalia; Rodentia; Sciuridae. The record is from Rfam by way of RNAcentral.
AUCGCUUCUAGGCCUUUUGGCUAAGAUCAAGUGUAGAAUACAACAAUCUGUUUAUAAAUUGAACAUUUUUUCAUAGAUGAUAUAUGUGCCACCAUAGCUACUUAAUUUCAAAUUUAAUAAUUUAAGGAAUUCAU